GUCUAUAUAGAUUAUAAAUAAAUCAUGAUGCUGUUAACUUCAAGAAAGGGUUAUCCUUAUAGUCG
RNAcentral lists this transfer RNA (65 nucleotides) under Rhinebothroides sp. MZUSP 8019. RNAcentral's name for it is "tRNA-Asn". The record is from RNAcentral. RNAcentral also lists the same sequence under 3 other names. Lineage: Eukaryota; Metazoa; Platyhelminthes; Cestoda; Rhinebothriidea; Rhinebothriidae.